RNAcentral lists this transfer RNA (79 nucleotides) under Klebsiella planticola. Its description in RNAcentral is "Raoultella planticola tRNA-Arg(tcg)". RNAcentral also lists the same sequence under 1 other name. The record is from RNAcentral. Lineage: Bacteria; Pseudomonadati; Pseudomonadota; Gammaproteobacteria; Enterobacterales; Enterobacteriaceae.
UGAAGAAAUGGAAAAAUAUGGUGCAUCCGGGAGGAUUCGAACCUCCGACCGCUCGGUUCGUAGCCGAGUACUCUAUCCA